Non-coding RNA from Myotis brandtii (Brandt's bat), 75 nucleotides. Lineage: Eukaryota; Metazoa; Chordata; Mammalia; Chiroptera; Vespertilionidae. The record is from Rfam.
GGUGGUUCUCAGGUGACGCACCCCAGAAUCAGGCUCCCUCUUCUCUGGUUCCAGGUGCGUCACCCGAGACCCUCC